Molecule: transfer RNA, 72 nt
Filed under: Hemerocallis hybrid cultivar (daylily)
Lineage: Eukaryota; Viridiplantae; Streptophyta; Magnoliopsida; Asparagales; Asphodelaceae
Also listed under: 11 other names
Description: tRNA-Gln
Rfam family: tRNA
About the family: Transfer RNA (tRNA) molecules are approximately 80 nucleotides in length. Their secondary structure includes four short double-helical elements and three loops (D, anti-codon, and T loops). Further hydrogen bonds mediate the characteristic L-shaped molecular structure. tRNAs have two regions of fundamental functional importance: the anti-codon, which is responsible for specific mRNA codon recognition, and the 3' end, to which the tRNAs corresponding amino acid is attached (by aminoacyl-tRNA synthetases). tRNAs cope with the degeneracy of the genetic code in two manners: having more than one tRNA (with a specific anti-codon) for a particular amino acid; and 'wobble' base-pairing, i.e. permitting non-standard base-pairing at the 3rd anti-codon position.
Source: RNAcentral
UGGGGCGUGGCCAAGUGGUAAGGCAGCGGGUUUUGGUCCCGUCAUUCGGAGGUUCGAAUCCUUCCGUCCCAG